Molecule: ribosomal RNA, 495 nt
Filed under: uncultured bacterium
Lineage: Bacteria
Description: partial 16S ribosomal RNA
Rfam family: Bacterial small subunit ribosomal RNA
Source: RNAcentral
UGACCGCUGGCGGCGUGCCUACUACAUGCAAGUCGAGCGACCGGACGAGAAGCUUGCUUCUCUGAUGUUAGCGGCGGACGGGUGAGUAACACGUGGAUAACCUACCUAUAAGACUGGGAUAACUUCGGGAAACCGGAGCUAAUACCGGAUAAUAUUUUGAACCGCAUGGUUCCAAAGUGAAAGACGGUCUUGCUGUCACUUAUAGAUGGAUCCGCGCUGCAUUAGCUAGUUGGUAAGGUAACGGCUUACCAAGGCAACGAUGCAUAGCCGACCUGAGAGGGUGAUCGGCCACACUGGAACUGAGACACGGUCCAGACUCCUACGGGAGGCAGCAGUAGGGAAUCUUCCGCAAUGGGCGAAAGCCUGACGGAGCAACGCCGCGUGAGUGAUGAAGGUCUUCGGAUCGUAAAACUCUGUUAUUAGGGAAGAACAUAUGUGUAAGUAACUGUGCACAUCUUGACGGUACCUAAUCAGAAAGCCACGGCUAACUACGUG